CGGGAUGUGGCGCAGUCUGGUAGCGCGCACCCUUGGGGUGGGUGAGGUCGCAGGUUCGAAUCUUGUCAUCCCGACCA
This 77-nucleotide transfer RNA is filed under the name Helicobacteraceae bacterium. RNAcentral describes it as "tRNA-Pro". It matches the Rfam family "tRNA". Rfam says of the family: Transfer RNA (tRNA) molecules are approximately 80 nucleotides in length. Their secondary structure includes four short double-helical elements and three loops (D, anti-codon, and T loops). Further hydrogen bonds mediate the characteristic L-shaped molecular structure. tRNAs have two regions of fundamental functional importance: the anti-codon, which is responsible for specific mRNA codon recognition, and the 3' end, to which the tRNAs corresponding amino acid is attached (by aminoacyl-tRNA synthetases). tRNAs cope with the degeneracy of the genetic code in two manners: having more than one tRNA (with a specific anti-codon) for a particular amino acid; and 'wobble' base-pairing, i.e. permitting non-standard base-pairing at the 3rd anti-codon position. The record is from RNAcentral. Lineage: Bacteria; Pseudomonadati; Campylobacterota; Epsilonproteobacteria; Campylobacterales; Helicobacteraceae.